CGGACUCGGUGUUUCCUGCCGAGUGGCUUCUCCGGGCGCCUAUCCCCCGGUCA
Molecule: non-coding RNA, 53 nt
Filed under: uncultured Devosia sp.
Lineage: Bacteria; Pseudomonadati; Pseudomonadota; Alphaproteobacteria; Hyphomicrobiales; Devosiaceae
Description: sul1 RNA
Rfam family: sul1 RNA
Source: RNAcentral